GACGAGCCACCCAAACGUUAUUCGGAAUUACUGGGCUUAAAGGGUGCGUAGGCGGUGCAGCAAGUCGGGAGUGAAAUCCCACGGCUUAACCGUGGAAUUGCUUUCGAUACUGCUGUGCUUGAGUGAGACAGAGGUAAGCGGAACUUAGGGUGGAGCGGUGAAAUGCGUUGAUAUCCUAAGGAACACCGGUGGCGAAGGCGGCUUACUGGGUCUCUACUGACGCUGAGGCACGAAAGCCAGGGUAGCAAACGGG
Molecule: unclassified non-coding RNA, 253 nt
Filed under: uncultured Pirellulaceae bacterium
Lineage: Bacteria; Pseudomonadati; Planctomycetota; Planctomycetia; Pirellulales; Pirellulaceae
Description: contains 16S-23S intergenic spacer region
Rfam family: Bacterial small subunit ribosomal RNA
Source: RNAcentral